This is a long non-coding RNA of Mastomys coucha (southern multimammate mouse), 596 nucleotides long. RefSeq lists it as uncharacterized. NCBI's taxonomy places the organism in Eukaryota, Metazoa, Chordata, Mammalia, Rodentia, Muridae. The record is from RefSeq and is a predicted model, not a curated record. The transcript has 3 exons.
AAGGAGGAAAGAGGGGGGCAAAGAAGAAGAGGGUCGAGGAGUUGGGGUCUCUACCUUUUAUUUGGGCUGUGAUGUAAUCAUGUGUACUACCACGCACAGGUGAAGUGUGCAGGUGAGGUGCAUGUUGGGAAUAUGUGGUAGUUGCCAUAGCAACAGGCACACGAGGGUCCUUGUUGCCUAGGAGUUGCUUCACCGUUGGAUUCGGAGGCACCUAUAAACAGCUUCUGAUGCCGACGACUAGGACUGACCUCCUACUCUACAGCCUGAGACUGCAGUGAAAGCUCCUGCCUGUGCUCAGCCACCCUCAGCUCUGUCAUGGAUGAUCCGCUGCCACCUCCUGUGACCCCGCAUGGAGGAAGUGAGAGGUCUCGAGACAAACUGCCUUUCAAUGCUGGUUGUCCCAUGCUUGUCUCACCGCACCUGGACACCUCGUUCUCAGUUUUCUACAUAAAAAAACAAAGAGAAGGACAGAGGGGAGAGGAAGUCGGGGUGAGAAAACGAAAAUGUAUUUAAAGAACAAAAGUAAGUCCCAUAUGCAGCUGUUCAACUUCUAAGAAGUUCCUCAUUCCUUGAAUUAAAUUUAUCUACACACUCAC